Molecule: ribosomal RNA, 411 nt
Filed under: Verrucomicrobiota bacterium
Lineage: Bacteria; Pseudomonadati; Verrucomicrobiota
Description: Verrucomicrobia bacterium partial 16S ribosomal RNA
Rfam family: Bacterial small subunit ribosomal RNA
Source: RNAcentral
UGGGGAAUAUUGCGCAAUGGGGGAAACCCUGACGCAGCGACGCCGCGUGCGGGAUGAAGGCCUUCGGGUUGUAAACCGCUUUUGAUUGGGAGCAAGCCUUUUGGGUGAGUGUACCUUUCGAAUAAGCGCCGGCUAACUACGUGCCAGCAGCCGCGGUAAUACGUAGGUGGCAAGCGUUGUCCGGAAUUAUUGGGCGUAAAGCGCGCGCAGGCGGACUAGCCAGUCAGUCUUAAAAGUUCGGGGCUUAACCCCGUGAUGGGAUUGAAACUACUAGUCUAGAGUAUCGGAGAGGAAAGUGGAAUUCCUAGUGUAGCGGUGAAAUGCGUAGAUAUUAGGAAGAACACCAGUGGCGAAGGCGACUUUCUGGACGAACACUGACGCUGAGGCGCGAAAGCCAGGGGAGCGAACGGG